Paramuricea clavata is the source of this 542-nucleotide non-coding RNA. The record is from the annotation of a GenBank genome assembly. Lineage: Eukaryota; Metazoa; Cnidaria; Anthozoa; Malacalcyonacea; Plexauridae.
GGCGAUACAUACCUCCAGGCAGAAUAAGAUAGCACGAAACCAAACCAAGAAAAAGAAUUAUUUGUUUAUAAAAGCUUGCCAUUUUAUAAUCAACACGACAGGAGUGCCAGUGUUUUUGACACAAAAAAACUAAAAGGCCUUUAAUGACUUUGAUCUAAAAACCGAGAUAAUCUAACUGUCAAUCAAACUAUUUAUCAUAAGAUAAAUUCAAGAAUCUGAAGUUAUCUUACCUUGAGCACACGAACUGGUUAUAAGCUCUAAAUUAGUGAUAUGCAGAAGAAUUGCAAACACAAAAAUGAAUUCCUUUUGUUUAUCCAUCUUUCUGUCUAUCAUUCUCCAGUCUAUCAUUCUUCUGUCUAUCAUUCUUCAGUCUAUCAUUCUACUGUCUAUCAUUCUUCAGUCUAUCAUUCUUCUAUCCAUCAUUCUUCUAUCAUUCUUCUGUCUAUCAUUCUUCUGUCUAUCAUUCUUCUGUCUAUCAUUCUUCAGUCUAUCAUUCUUCAGUCUAUCAUUCUUCUAUCCAUCAUUCUUCUAUCAUUCUUCUG